Long non-coding RNA from Camelina sativa (false flax), 659 nucleotides. RefSeq lists it as uncharacterized. The record is from RefSeq and is a predicted model, not a curated record. NCBI's taxonomy places the organism in Eukaryota, Viridiplantae, Streptophyta, Magnoliopsida, Brassicales, Brassicaceae.
UUUUUCAUUUCAUUCGACGUUUCUUUUUUAUUUUUCUUCUUCUCUCUGAAAAAUCUAACAGGCGAAAUCACGAGAGAUUUUUUUUUCCUCAUCGUCUUCUCCUCUGUCCGGCGAUUGAAACACCGGGGCGACCGUCUCCUCGUCGUCUCCUCGUCUCCUCGUCUCGUCGUCUACUCCGGAUCCACCGAUUAUCAUCGUCUCCUCUGUCUCGCGAAGUCUAGAGAUCUCCUCUGUGUCGCGAAGCUCAAGAUCUCGUCGUCUUCUCUGUCUCCUCUGUCUCGUCGGCUAGGUUGAAUACGAUCCAAGGAUCAUUGGUUAUCGUCAACUUUUAGAUGUAUUCUGGUCUAGUCAUGAUUCUAGACAAGUGUUUGGACAAGGUCCUGAUGUGGGUAAUCAAUACAGAUCGUGUAUUUUCACUAAUUCUACAGAAGAGUUGAGACUGGCUUCUACUAGCAAAGAAAGGGAGCAGUGUUUUCAGUGUUCAGUGUUUUCUUCUUCUUUCUUUCUGAACUCUCAUCUCUCACAGUAUGCUUUUCGUUUUCUUGUAAGCAGCAGAUUCAUUUAGACUUUCAUUGUAUCAAUAUGGUAUUGAAUUUUGUGAACCCGUGAUGUUUAUUAUUUGCCUUUGAUCACUCAAUAUACUUUGAUCACUCUAUAUA